RNAcentral lists this ribosomal RNA (253 nucleotides) under uncultured bacterium. RNAcentral's name for it is "partial 16S ribosomal RNA". It matches the Rfam family "Bacterial small subunit ribosomal RNA", at positions 524 to 776 of the family's 1533-position model. The record is from RNAcentral.
UACGAAGGGGGCUAGCGUUGUUCGGAAUCACUGGGCGUAAAGCGCACAUAGGCGGAUGUGCCAGUCAGGGGUGAAAUCCCGGAGCUCAACUUCGGAACUGCCUCUGAUACAGCACGUCUUGAGUCCGGAAGAGGUGGGUGGAAUUCCUAGUGUAGAGGUGAAAUUCGUAGAUAUUAGGAAGAACACCGGUGGCGAAGGCGGCCCACUGGUCCGGUACUGACGCUGAGGUGCGAAAGCGUGGGGAGCAAACAGG